Molecule: regulatory RNA element, 47 nt
Organism: Scleropages formosus (Asian bonytongue)
Lineage: Eukaryota; Metazoa; Chordata; Actinopteri; Osteoglossiformes; Osteoglossidae
Rfam family: Histone 3' UTR stem-loop
About the family: The mRNAs of metazoan histone genes lack a poly-A tail.
Source: Rfam
ACAAAGGCCCUUUUAAGGGCCACCCAAGUGUUCUUUGUAGAGGGCAG